Non-coding RNA from Coturnix japonica (Japanese quail), 988 nucleotides. The record is from RefSeq and is a predicted model, not a curated record. NCBI's taxonomy places the organism in Eukaryota, Metazoa, Chordata, Aves, Galliformes, Phasianidae.
UCCCCAACGGUCGUUGUUCCACAGGGGGCGAGUUUAGACUCAGUGAAGGAAACACCUUUUAUAGCACUAAUGAUGCUGUGACUUUGGUAGAUUUUAGGGAAUAAAACUUUUGGGACACAUUACAGCACUGUGGUGGCCAUCUGGUGUUGUACAUCACGCCCAGCACCCAAGGGCUGCACUGUUCUCUCAGAGCUGGGCCAGCAGAGGGCUAUAGCAGACAUUGCUGCAGAGGAGCUGAGUUUAUCAGUGCCGUUAUAAAAACCCUGAUUUCAUUGUUUUCUCUAUCUGUUUGAGUGUAUCAGGUGUCAGGAGGAAAGACCACGUUGAAAAAUGCCUUAGAAGAUAUUUUCGCAUUAAUAGAAUCAUAAAAUAUCCCAAUUGGGACCUAGUCUUAACUAAGUUCUACAAACAAGCCAAAGACAUAUAAAUAUUGUAAGGGAAAAAUAAUAAUUUGAAGAUACUUGCUAUUAACUUCAUAACUAUGUUUUAUGAGAUCUGCUUAAUCCAGGCGAUGGACGUUACUGAAUGAGCAAGAAGAUCUCAUUAUUUUUUAAUAGGAAAGGUCAGUGAGGCACUGCUGUGUAAUUUAGACCCUUAAACCAGAUGUGGUAAAAGCCUAAGAUCAGUAAUUAAAAUGCACACACGUUUGAACUGCUUUUUGCUAUGACGGUACAAGCGUUUUGAGAUCAAUGGAGAUCAGCCUAGAUCCAUUUUGUGUUGAUAACAGUGCAGCACAGAUGUGCUGCUUUUGUCUCCAGACAUCUGAUCACACCUGGCUGUUGACACACAUGUGUCCAAUAAUAGUGGAGGAAAGAGGCUUUCCUGAAGAUAUGUGGCAUUCAUUGCUUCAGCCUUCUCUUCCGAGCUCUUCAUCUGCUGUGCAAUUGUUAACACCAGUAUCUUCAAGGGCCUCUAUAGCACUGUGUGAGUACCGUAAGGUGAGAAACAACAGCACUGUCUGCUGUUUGAUAUCUGUGACAACAAUUUG